AUUAUUUUAAGAUUAUUUUUUAUUGUUGAAAAAAUUAAAAAUAAAUUGUUUUUAACAAAAAUUAAAAUUUAUAAUAUUUCAUUUUUUGGUUUUUUGUUUUAAAUUAAAAUAAUAAAUAUGGGGGAAAAAAAAAUUUUGUUAUAAAUUAUAUUAGUUUAUUUUAAUUAAAAAUAUUUUUUAUUAAAUUUGUUUUUUUUAUUUUUUUAUAAAAAAUAUUAAUUUAAUUAUUAUUAUUGAGUUUAAUUUAGUUAUUUUUAAAAAAAUUUUGUAUAAAAUAAAUUUGAUAAUAAAUGUUUUUUAAAUUCUUUGGGGGUUUAGUUUAUGAUUUUUUGUUUCUGCUCAUUGUUAAAUAAAAGCACUUUUAGCGUGAUUAGUCCAAAGGUAAA
This 386-nucleotide ribosomal RNA is filed under the name Meloidogyne enterolobii. RNAcentral's name for it is "partial 16S ribosomal RNA". The record is from RNAcentral. Lineage: Eukaryota; Metazoa; Nematoda; Chromadorea; Rhabditida; Meloidogynidae.